UUUGCUAUUUCUAAAAACGUUUGGCUGGUGUGCCGUCACCCAUCUGAGCAGUCGGCUUUGAAUGCCCUCACUGGCUUGUGCAAUUAUGUUGACUGUGAUUUGGGUUCUGACCCUCCACAGGAUGUGCGCUGAUGUCCAGGAUGUCCAGCCUCAGAGCGCCCCACUUCUUCAUCAGGUGGAUCUCUUCUCCCAGGAGGCGACAGCGGCUUACCACCAGACCCACAUCAUGCAGCAGCUGGAGAGCGAGAAUCAGAUAUUAUACAGCCAAAACGGAACCUCUGUGGACAUGCAAUGCAAUACAAACCCCUUUUCUGGACUUCACGUCAUGUGGAUCAUCCCUUUUAACCAAGCCUCACACUUACCAUGGGAAUGUAUCGACUGGUGGGGUACUUCUUGAACCAAGUGGUUUCACUGCCUAUGUACUGGCAUAGCAGAUUGUGUACAAGCCGAGAGUAGCACUGUGACUUUUCAUCUGUAAGAAAGAAAAGGUGAGUUUGCAAGGCAAUAGUCCUGUGUGUGGCGAGAACCAAGAAAAUAUUCUACAUUAGUGUCCGAGCUUAAUUUCUCCCACCAUCCAUUUGGUGUUGAAAUGUGAUGUCCAUGAUGUUACGCUCAGUCUGUUCACAGACCUCUCCUAAAUAAAAGAGCAAAGCAUUAGAAAAACA
Oncorhynchus kisutch (coho salmon) is the source of this 665-nucleotide long non-coding RNA. RefSeq lists it as uncharacterized. Lineage: Eukaryota; Metazoa; Chordata; Actinopteri; Salmoniformes; Salmonidae. The transcript has 2 exons. The record is from RefSeq and is a predicted model, not a curated record.